Molecule: ribosomal RNA, 484 nt
Filed under: uncultured bacterium
Lineage: Bacteria
Description: partial 16S ribosomal RNA
Rfam family: Bacterial small subunit ribosomal RNA
Source: RNAcentral
AAUGAACGUUGGCGGCGUGGAUUAGGCAUGCAAGUCGAGCGAGAACUAGUAGCAAUACUGGGGAAAGCGGCGAAAGGGAGAGUAAUACGUAGGUACCUACCCUCGGGUCUGGGAUAGCUGCGGGAAACUGCAAUUAAUACCGGAUGACGUCUCUGGACCAAAGGUGUGAUUCCGCCAGGGGAUGGGCCUGCGUCCUAUUAGCUAGUUGGCGGGGUAAUGGCCCACCAAGGCUAAGAUGGGUACGGGGUGUGAGAGCAUGCCCCCGCUCACUGGGACUGCGACACUGCCCAGACACCUACGGGUGGCUGCAGUCGAGGAUCUUCCGCAAUGGGCGCAAGCCUGACGGAGCGACGCCGCGUGCGGGAUGAAGGCCUUCGGGUUGUAAACCGCUGUCAGUGGGGAGCAAAUGCAUCAGGGUUCUCCCUGGUGUUUGAGCGAUCCGCAGAGGAAGCACAGGCUAAUUCCGUGCCAGCAGCCGCAGUAA